This is an RNA transcript of Sapajus apella (tufted capuchin), 2465 nucleotides long. It is a transcript of the gene named high mobility group protein B1 pseudogene, with no coding region annotated. The transcript has a single exon. The record is from RefSeq and is a predicted model, not a curated record. NCBI's taxonomy places the organism in Eukaryota, Metazoa, Chordata, Mammalia, Primates, Cebidae.
UUGCCCAAAGCUCAAGCAAUCUGCCUACCUCAGCCUCCCAGUGCUGGGAUUUCAGGAGCGAGCCAGGGCCACUGGGAAUGAUCUUUCCCUUCCUUGCAUCAACCCAAGGACAUAAUUCAAAAAAGAAGAGCAAGGAAAACCUUAUCAUCUAGGUAUCUUUGAGGCAGUCAGCCCAUGACUCUUGAACUUGGAUUCUGAUCUCCCAAAAGUCUCAGAAUCAGAGCAAACUCUUCAGGACAAUAGCUGAUGUUCCCUUUCUUCUAGGCAUAGCCUUAAGGAGUCAAUAGGAUAAGAUAUCUUCACUACGGGCAUAAAGAGGGAAAUCAAAUCUAUCUUGUUCACUACUGUAACCCCCUUUAAGUCAAGCACAAGGCCUAAUACAUAGUAAAUGCUCAAUAAAUCCUCACUGUAAUUAAUACUAAAGGGAGAACAUUCUUCCCAAAUGCUCACAGAAUGUUCUGGAGCUAAAAUAAAAAUCUUGGCUGGGCAUGGUGGUUCACAUUUGUAAUCCCAGUGCUUUGUGACGCUGUUGCUUGAGCGUUUGAGACCAGCCAGGAGUUUGGGACCAGCCAGGGCAACAAAGUGAGACGCCAUCUUUAGAAAAAAUUUAAAAAGUAACUGGGCAUGAAAUUGUGGACAUGUGGCCCUAGCUACUCAAGAGGCUGAGGCUGGAGAAUGGCUCAAGCCCAGGAGCUUGGGGCUGCAGUGAGUCAUGGUCACACUACUGCACCCCAGCCUGGGUGACAGAGCAAGGCCUUGUCUCAAAAAUAAUAAUAGGAGUAAUGUUACAGAGCAGAGAGAGUGAGGAGGCUGUGUCUGGCUCCCGCUCUCACAGCCAUUGCAGUACAUUGAGCUCCAUAGAGACAGCACCAGGGCAAGUGAGAGCCGGAUGGGCACUGGGCAACUCUGUGCCUCACUGAGGAAAAAUAACUAAACAUGGGCAAAGGAGAUCCAGCAAGCCAAGAGGCAAAAUGUCAUCAUAUGCAUUUUUGUCAAGAGAAGCAUAAGAAGAAGCACCCAGAUGCUUCAGUCAACUUCUCAGAGUUUCCUAAGAAGUGCUCAGAGAGGUGGAAGACCAUGUCUGCUAAAAAGAAAGGAAAAUUUGAAGUUAUGGCAAAGGCGGACAAGGCCUGUUAUGAGAGAGAAAUGAAAAUCUGUAUUACUCCUAAAGGGAAGACAAAAAAGAAGUUCAAGGAUCCCAAUGCACCCAAAAGGCCUCCUUCGGCCUUUUUCCUGUUCUGUUCCGAGUAUCGCCCAAAAAUCAAAGGAGAACUUCCUGGCCUGUCCAUUGGUGAUGAUGUGAAGAAACUGGGAGAAAUGUGGACUAACACUGCUGCAGAUGACAAGCAGACUUAUGAAAAGAAGGCUGUGAAGCUGAAGGAAAAAUACAAAAAGGAUAUUGCUGCAUAUCGAGCUAAAGGAAAGCUUGAUGCAGCAAAAAAGGGAGUUGUCAAGACUGAAAAAAGUAAGAAAAAGAAGGAAGAUGAGAAAGAUGAAGAGGAUGAGGAGGAAGAGGAGUGGCCAGGCCUCUGGCCGCCUUCAGGCUCUGCUCCUGCAGCUGCGCAUACUCCACACCAAAGGAGACAAAGCUUUUGUUGAUUUCCUGAGUGAUUAAAUUAAGGAGAAAAGGAAAAUCCGGAAGCAUAAAACCCUCCUAAGAUGUCUGGAGGUUGGGAGCUGGAACUGAAUGGCACAGAAGCUAAAUUAGUGCUCCGGGGAAAAAAAUCACUGUCACUUUCAACAUUAACAACAGCAUCCCUGAAACAAAACAAAACAAAACAAAAAAAAAAAGAGGAAAACAGCAGCAUCCAACCAACAUUUGAUGGUGACAAGGACCCCUUGAAAGGGCAAAAGGUUGAAAAACAGGAGCCUGAAUUGACAUUAACUCCCAAUUUCGUGGUUGAAGUCAUAAAGAAUGAUGGCAAGAAGGCCCUUGUGCUGUACUGUCAUUAUCCAGAGGAUGAGGUUGAACAAGAAGAGGAAGCUGAGAGUGACAUCUCCUCUAUCAGGGAAGUUAGCUUUCGGUCCGCUAGAGAGUCUGAAUGGAAGGAUACUAAUUAUACAGUCAACACAGAUUCCCUGGGCUGGGCCUUAUAUGACCACCUAACCGAUUUCCUUGCAGACUGAGGGGUGGAUAACACUUUUGCAGAUGAGUUGGUGGAGCUCAGCACAGCCCUGGAGCACCAGGAGUACAUUACUUUUCUUGAAGAUCUCAAAAGUUUUGUCAAGAGCCAGUAAAGCAGACAGGCACUGAAAGCCACAGUUUUAUGACAGGCUUUUGGCCAGUGAACAAAUCCUACUCUGAAGCUAGACAUGUGCUUUGAAAUGAUUAUCAUCCUAAUAUUAUGGGGGGAAAACACCAAAUUUAAAUUAUAUGUUUUGUACUCUCAUUAUCACUUUUCUGUACACAUCUAUUGUUUCUACAUUUUUGUAUAACAUAAGACAAUAAAAUGGAUUUAUCUCCU